AGCGAACGCUGGCGGCAGGCUUAACACAUGCAAGUCGAGCGGGCAUCUUCGGAUGUCAGCGGCAGACGGGUGAGUAACACGUGGGAACGUACCCUUCGGCUCGGAACAACUCUGGGAAACUGGAGCUAAUACCGGAUACGCCCUUAUGGGGAAAGGUUUACUGCCGAAGGAUCGGCCCGCGUCUGAUUAGCUAGUUGGUGGGGUAACGGCCUACCAAGGCGACGAUCAGUAGCUGGUCUGAGAGGAUGAUCAGCCACACUGGGACUGAGACACGGCCCAGACUCCUACGGGAGGCAGCAGUGGGGAAUAUUGGACAAUGGGCGCAAGCCUGAUCCAGCCAUGCCGCGUGAGUGAUGAAGGCCUUAGGGUUGUAAAGCUCUUUUGUCCGGGACGAUAAUGACGGUACCGGAAGAAUAAGCCCCGACUAACUUCGUG
RNAcentral lists this ribosomal RNA (435 nucleotides) under uncultured bacterium. RNAcentral's name for it is "partial 16S ribosomal RNA". It matches the Rfam family "Bacterial small subunit ribosomal RNA", at positions 29 to 507 of the family's 1533-position model. The record is from RNAcentral.